GACAGAGGGGGCAAGCGUUGUCCGGAUUUAUUGGGUUUAAAGGGUGCGUAGGUGGCUAACUAAGUCAGUGGUGAAAUAUCUCAGCUUAACUGAGAGGGUGCCAUUGAUACUGGAUAGCUUGAGUACAGAUGAGGUAGGCGGAAUUGACGGUGUAGCGGUGAAAUGCAUAGAUAUCGUCAAGAACACCGAUAGCGAAGGCAGCUUACCAAGCUGUAACUGACACUGAGGCACGAAAGUGUGGGGAUCAAACAGG
RNAcentral lists this ribosomal RNA (253 nucleotides) under uncultured bacterium. RNAcentral describes it as "partial 16S ribosomal RNA". It matches the Rfam family "Bacterial small subunit ribosomal RNA", at positions 524 to 776 of the family's 1533-position model. The record is from RNAcentral.